UUCCAGAAUUCCCUGGCCAGCAAUGCUUCCAGUUAACACCUUAAAGUUGCUGAGGUUGAGGAAAACUAGUCUAAAACUUCCUUCUGAGACAAGCUUAGCUGCAGAAGAGUUCUUUUUAACUUCUAUUAAAACGUCUUUCUAUUCUUUGUCAGGUCUGAAAAAGAGACCCCAACUAGUAAAACUUCUCCAAAGACGGGGUCUGAAAAAGAGAGCCCAACUAGUGAAACUUCUCCAAAGACAGAGGCUUCAGGAACAGAAGAAGAAGGGACUGAAGGCACUUCAAAGAAGGGUAGUUCAGAAGAGGAAGAGGGGGAGGAAGAUGAAGAAGACUAAUCCUAUUUAUCCAGAGCACUGUUUAUUGUUAAAUAUUUUAUUAUUAAAUACAUUAUUUCUCAUGCAUCUUUUUUAUUGUUAUCCUUAUUCUGAGACUUAAAAAUAUUUCUUAAUAGCUGUUAUGUAUUGAUAUUAAGAGUUAAUGUGUUUUAGUUUAAACGUGUCUCCAACCGUUUUGGAGGGAAAAGUUAAGUUCACAUUUGAGCGGGAAAACAACCGUUUGAAUUGAUUGGUCACUGCCUAGAGUGGCAGGUAUAAAUAGCCAUCAUUCUGCCGAUUAAGCCAGUUUGGUUUCUGUUGCAAUAAAUCUUGUUGUAUUAACCCUGUCUGGUUAAUGCCUCCAAAAAAACCCACUACACAAUAGUGGCAAUGAAGAUGGGAUCUGAGGAAAGAGAGAAUGAUGCCUAUUAGAGUUGAAGUCACAGAGUGUUAGCCCAGGCACCAGAGCCCUAUUGGGAUCACGUCUUCACCCUGCCUGCCAUUAAGCCAAACUGGAGGCACAGCGUCCUGUGGCAUCUGUCUCCAGUAUCUAGGCAGUUCAUCUCCUUUCACAGCAAGAGAGGCAGAACCCAGGACU
Molecule: long non-coding RNA, 910 nt
Organism: Crotalus tigris (Tiger rattlesnake)
Lineage: Eukaryota; Metazoa; Chordata; Lepidosauria; Squamata; Viperidae
Exons: 4
Source: RefSeq, a predicted model, not a curated record